Molecule: ribosomal RNA, 429 nt
Filed under: uncultured bacterium
Lineage: Bacteria
Description: bacterial SSU rRNA
Rfam family: Bacterial small subunit ribosomal RNA
Source: RNAcentral
CUAAGAAUAUUCCGCAAUGGACGAAAGUCUGACGGAGCGACGCCGCGUGGAUGAAGAAGGCCGCAAGGUUGUAAAAUCCUUUUGCUGGGGAAGAAUAAGUCCAGGAGGGAAUGCCUGGAUGAUGACAUGAACCGGCGAAUAAGCCCCGGCCAACUACGUGCCAGCAGCCGCGGUAACACGUAGGGGGCAAGCGUUGUUCGGAAUUACUGGGCGUAAAGGGCAUGUAGGCGGUUUAGUAAGCUUGGCGUGAAAGACCACAGCUCAACUGUGGGGUUGCGUUGAGAACUGCUGAACUUGAGUUACGGAGAGGGAGCUAGAAUUCCUGGUGUAGGGGUGGAAUCUGUAGAGAUCAGGAAGAAUACCGAUGGCGAAGGCAAGCUUCUGGCCGAUAACUGACGCUGAGGUGCGAAAGUGUGGGGAUCAAACAGG